This 481-nucleotide ribosomal RNA is filed under the name uncultured bacterium. RNAcentral describes it as "partial 16S ribosomal RNA". It matches the Rfam family "Bacterial small subunit ribosomal RNA", at positions 28 to 507 of the family's 1533-position model. The record is from RNAcentral.
GAUGAACGCUGGCGGCGUGCUUAACACAUGCAAGUCGAACGAAGCACUUUAAUUGAUUUCCUUCGGGACUGAUUAUUUUGUGACUGAGUGGCGGACGGGUGAGUAACGCGUGGGUAACCUGCCUUGUACAGGGGGAUAACAGUUGGAAACGGCUGCUAAUACCGCAUAAGCGCACAGCAUCGCAUGAUGCAGUGUGAAAAACUCCGGUGGUAUAAGAUGGACCCGCGUUGGAUUAGCUAGUUGGUGAGGUAACGGCCCACCAAGGCGACGAUCCAUAGCCGACCUGAGAGGGUGACCGGCCACAUUGGGACUGAGACACGGCCCAAACUCCUACGGGAGGCAGCAGUGGGGAAUAUUGCACAAUGGGCGAAAGCCUGAUGCAGCGACGCCGCGUGAGCGAAGAAGUAUUUCGGUAUGUAAAGCUCUAUCAGCAGGGAAGAUAAUGACGGUACCUGACUAAGAAGCACCGGCUAAAUACGUG